CUCUUUCUACUUCUUCGCCUACUCUCUUCCAUCUUCUCAUCUUCGGUUCCUGCAAUUUUUUUUCUUUUUUUUCGUAGAAAACCCUGCUCUUGCACAGAGGGAGAAGAGAACACUUCCACACUGUGAUUAGAGUCUAAUCUUAUUAUCUUUUUAUUGCAUCAUAUUCAUUGCCAUAUUAGAAAAAAAAAAUUAUUUUGAACUUCAAAAUUCUUUCUGGUAGGGGAAUUAGAGUUACAAGAACAACCAAUUAUUCUUCCUCAGACUGGAUUAGAGUACUCUCUACAUGUCCAUAAAUCCUUAUAGGGGAGUGGUGAGAUGGGAAUUCAUCAUGUUUCAAUAUUGGAAAAAAAAAUUGUAAUUAAGAAGUUUGGUUCUUUAGUGGUCUUUGGAGAGAAGAAGAAUGAACUGUUGAUUUGCAUAAUUUAACCUCUGAAUAUUCCAUCUAAAAAGCUGCUUCAUCAGCCCCAAAAUUCGUUCAAAAUUGAAGCAAAGGGCAAGUGGUUGCGAGGUUUGGCCUCUCCAGGGUAUCUCAAUGCCACCUAGGUGACAAUGGAUUUGAUCCUCUUGGACUUUCAGAAGACCCUGAGAACGUGAUAUGGUUUGUGCAGACAGAGCUCUUUAAUGGUUUGUGGGCCAUGUUAAGUGUAGCAGGGAUGCAGCCGCCAGAAGUCUUCACAAAGAUUUGUAUCAUCAAUGUACCAAAAUGGUAAUGCUGUUGCCCCUUCAUGUUUGAGGGUUUCGGUUCUACUAUGUUCAAAGAGCUUUUGUUUCUCUUCUAAAAAGUUCAUGAGCGUUGCUCUAUGAGGCUGCAGAGGAGAAUAAAAUUUGAGGAAAGAAAGCAAGCAAAUCAGAGAAGGGUACUUUCCAAUUCAGAGACGGUCCAGUGGUUGAACCAUGCAGUAGAGAAAGUCUAGCCAAUAUGCAUGGAACAAAUUGGAUCAUGGAAACUUCUUCCUCUCAUGCCUUGGUUCUUUGGAGAAGUAGACCUUGGACUACUGUAUGAAUUCACUUUCUGCGUAUUUGUAAUCCAGAGAUCAUCCUAAGAUGUACUUUCUUGCUGCAGUGAUUUGCUUUUAAUACCAUUAUCGAUAAUAUUUAGUAUGAAGAGCAUAACCAUUGUAUCCAGAUCUUUUCUUUUGUGGCCUUGAGUUGUGGUGUUUGUUUGAAGAAAUUUGGUUGAUAUUUU
Molecule: long non-coding RNA, 1186 nt
Organism: Macadamia integrifolia
Lineage: Eukaryota; Viridiplantae; Streptophyta; Magnoliopsida; Proteales; Proteaceae
Exons: 5
Source: RefSeq, a predicted model, not a curated record